ACAACUUCUUUACAGUACAACAGCACUCUUGUUUGUGAGAUAUCGACCAAAUAUAUUAAUUCAUAUUAUUAUUACUACAGUAAAUACUACAUUGUACUAUACAGUAGUUAUACAGUACUAAAUAUUUCUGUCACGAUUUCUUCAAUUCUUCCAUCUAGUGAUUAUUAGAGCAAAAAAUAUAUAGUCUGUAGGCACUGCAUGCUUUACAGUAAAUGUGUGCUCUCUUCUGCCAUUUACUACAAGCUCAGCGUGCUAUGCCCAUAAAAUGUGGUGUUUUGAUCAGUCUGAAUUUUCAGCUUAUAAGCAGCUUCACACAUUCACAGGUGUGCAGAAGCAUGUAGCUCAUGCAGACUGUAUUUAAGUCAGUCGGUGGUUUAAUAAUCACGCCAGGACAUAUCACUAUUUUAAUUUUGAUUCAUUGUCUUUUUCAGUGUAAUAGGAGUAACGGCACACACUCAUAAGCGUGUGAGCAUUUGAAAGCAGCCAUCUAUAAGGUACUGCAGAAACACUGGUAUUAAAUCUUUAUUACAUUUUAGUAUCGACUUGGUACUGAAGUACUAGUACUUUUAAAAUAACUAUUAUGUCCUGUACUCAGUCACUAAACAUUUUCUGCAUUUUUAUGUGUUUUUGCCACAAAAGGUCUGACUACGUGAGACUAAAUCCUAGGUAGAUAAGAAAUCAAAGACAAAAGGAAGUUUGUUGGAUUAUUGUUUGCAUUUUUUCCCCCACCUGUCUGUCUAGUUGUUUGUUUGUUUGUUUAUCCCAGACAGCUUUUUUCACCUGCCACGAGCAGAUGCUGCUCAUUCCCAGAGUACGAGCUUGAGCGCGCUCCCUGCCGAUCUCAUUAAUGCGCCGUGCGCCAUGCCUCCCAGCGAGCACGCUCCAAGCCGGAGUGCCAUCAGCACAGCCCACAUCUCCCUGUGUGGCAUGUGUUAGUUGUCAUAGGGGGAGGGGUGCGAAUUAGCCUUUGUGCAUGGCACGCAGCUGAGCAAGGUCCAUUUUUGAGCCUCCCACUGGCAAACCCACCACAGCCAAAUCGGAGUGACAACAGAUCUGAGAUCUGCAUGCAGUGGUAACGAGAUGAUGGCCUACUUUGUUUAAUAAUUGUUCAUGAUCUUCACGACACUCGCACCAUUCUCACCUGCCCUUGAUCUGUCUCCAAGGGAUGCCACCAGCAUGUUCCUGGCUCAGGUGAAGUCCCAAGAUACGCAGGAAGAUAUGGAAG
Molecule: long non-coding RNA, 1225 nt
Organism: Xyrauchen texanus (razorback sucker)
Lineage: Eukaryota; Metazoa; Chordata; Actinopteri; Cypriniformes; Catostomidae
Exons: 3
Source: RefSeq, a predicted model, not a curated record